This 1273-nucleotide ribosomal RNA is filed under the name Salmonella enterica. Its description in RNAcentral is "partial 23S ribosomal RNA". It matches the Rfam family "Bacterial large subunit ribosomal RNA", at positions 1678 to 2925 of the family's 2925-position model. The record is from RNAcentral. Lineage: Bacteria; Pseudomonadati; Pseudomonadota; Gammaproteobacteria; Enterobacterales; Enterobacteriaceae.
AUACCAAGGCGCUUGAGAGAACUCGGGUGAAGGAACUAGGCAAAAUGGUGCCGUAACUUCGGGAGAAGGCACGCUGACACGUAGGUGAAGUGAUUUACUCAUGGAGCUGAAGUCAGUCGAAGAUACCAGCUGGCUGCAACUGUUUAUUAAAAACACAGCACUGUGCAAACACGAAAGUGGACGUAUACGGUGUGACGCCUGCCCGGUGCCGGAAGGUUAAUUGAUGGGGUCAGCGCAAGCGAAGCUCCUGAUCGAAGCCCCGGUAAACGGCGGCCGUAACUAUAACGGUCCUAAGGUAGCGAAAUUCCUUGUCGGGUAAGUUCCGACCUGCACGAAUGGCGUAAUGAUGGCCAGGCUGUCUCCACCCGAGACUCAGUGAAAUUGAACUCGCUGUGAAGAUGCAGUGUACCCGCGGCAAGACGGAAAGACCCCGUGAACCUUUACUAUAGCUUGACACUGAACAUUGAGCCUUGAUGUGUAGGAUAGGUGGGAGGCUUUGAAGUGUGGACGCCAGUCUGCAUGGAGCCGACCUUGAAAUACCACCCUUUAAUGUUUGAUGUUCUAACGUGGACCCGUGAUCCGGGUUGCGGACAGUGUCUGGUGGGUAGUUUGACUGGGGCGGUCUCCUCCUAAAGAGUAACGGAGGAGCACGAAGGUUGGCUAAUCCUGGUCGGACAUCAGGAGGUUAGUGCAAUGGCAUAAGCCAGCUUGACUGCGAGCGUGACGGCGCGAGCAGGUGCGAAAGCAGGUCAUAGUGAUCCGGUGGUUCUGAAUGGAAGGGCCAUCGCUCAACGGAUAAAAGGUACUCCGGGGAUAACAGGCUGAUACCGCCCAAGAGUUCAUAUCGACGGCGGUGUUUGGCACCUCGAUGUCGGCUCAUCACAUCCUGGGGCUGAAGUAGGUCCCAAGGGUAUGGCUGUUCGCCAUUUAAAGUGGUACGCGAGCUGGGUUUAGAACGUCGUGAGACAGUUCGGUCCCUAUCUGCCGUGGGCGCUGGAGAACUGAGGGGGGCUGCUCCUAGUACGAGAGGACCGGAGUGGACGCAUCACUGGUGUUCGGGUUGUCAUGCCAAUGGCACUGCCCGGUAGCUAAAUGCGGAAGAGAUAAGUGCUGAAAGCAUCUAAGCACGAAACUUGCCCCGAGAUGAGUUCUCCCUGAGACUUUAAGUCUCCUGAAGGAACGUUGAAGACGACGACGUUGAUAGGCCGGGUGUGUAAGCGCAGCGAUGCGUUGAGCUAACCGGUACUAAUGAACCGUGAGGCUUAACCUUACA